Molecule: long non-coding RNA, 341 nt
Filed under: Aotus nancymaae (Ma's night monkey)
Lineage: Eukaryota; Metazoa; Chordata; Mammalia; Primates; Aotidae
Description: lncRNA (ENSANAG00000039279.1)
Source: RNAcentral
AAGACGAAGAGAAGCAAUGGGCAAGGAAGCCGAUUUUAGCACCACAUUCAAAAAUCGAUCCUGAAAGCUAACUCUUCCCAGCCCUAACCUGAAGUGUCGCAAACGACAAGAGAAUGAAUCAGGGCCAACGAUGUGAAUGUAUUUGCAAAACUCUGUCACCACAUACGCAUCUGACAAUAGCCCAGGAGCAUCAAGUUCGCUUACGGAGCGUGUCCAUUUAUCCUCUGAUUUUGAAGCUUCCCUCCCCCCGUACCACGUACCCAGAAGCCACUCCACUUGCCAACCAUGUCCAGUUUAACUUACUGCAGUGCGAUGCGGGCGAAAGCUGGGCGCAUCUCUGA